GAUGAACGCUGGCGGCGUGCCUAAUACAUGCAAGUCGAGCGAACAUACUAGGACCUUGCUCCUUUGAAGUUAGCGGCGGACGGGUGAGUAACACAUGGAUAACCUACCUGUAAGAAUGGGAUAACUUCGGGAGGCCUGAGCCAUGAACGCAUAAGAUAUUGAACCACAUGGUUCAAUAGUGAAAGACGGUUUUGCUGACCCUUAUAGUUGGAUCGCCGACGCAUUAGCUAGUUGGGAAGUUAAAGGCUUACCAAGGCGACGAUGCGUAGCCGACUUGAGAGGUUGAUCGGCCACACUGGAACUGAGACACGGCCCAAACUCCUACGGGAGGCAGCAGUAGGGAAUCUUCCGCAAUGGGCGAAAGCCUGACGGAGCAACGCCGCGUGAGUGAUGAAGGUCUUCGGAUCGUAAAACUCUGUUAUUAGGGAAGAACAAGUGUGUAAGUAACUAUGCACGUCUCGACGGUACCUAAUCAGAAAGCCACGGCUAACUACGUG
RNAcentral lists this ribosomal RNA (497 nucleotides) under uncultured bacterium. RNAcentral describes it as "partial 16S ribosomal RNA". It matches the Rfam family "Bacterial small subunit ribosomal RNA", at positions 28 to 507 of the family's 1533-position model. The record is from RNAcentral.